AUCUUUCAUUUUUAUUUAGCACUAGAAUGGUGGGAACGAAAAUUAUUUUCUAAAUUCUGUAAUUAUAUUGAUUUCACUAUGUAUUUUUUGAGUAUUUGUGUAAGUGUAUUAUAGAUCUUCAGAAUCUGAAUUUUAACUCGUAUGUAAGCUAAAUUGUAGUUUAUGCAGGAGUUCAUUUCAACUUUCCUUCUUAUUUGUUUUUUCUCUUAGAAGUGCUUGAUGAGAAUUCUCCUCCAAACUGGACCCUGUUAUUAUUAAUUAAGCAUUUGGUGUGUUCUACGAUUUUUCUCCCCCU
RNAcentral lists this long non-coding RNA (295 nucleotides) under Vigna radiata. Its description in RNAcentral is "long non-coding RNA (VRAD_LNC002875)". The record is from RNAcentral. Lineage: Eukaryota; Viridiplantae; Streptophyta; Magnoliopsida; Fabales; Fabaceae.